Molecule: long non-coding RNA, 630 nt
Organism: Athalia rosae (coleseed sawfly)
Lineage: Eukaryota; Metazoa; Arthropoda; Insecta; Hymenoptera; Athaliidae
Exons: 3
Source: RefSeq, a predicted model, not a curated record
UGAAAUCGGCCGUGAUUGGCGCUUCAUAGUGGUAGCACUGCGCUCAAGAGAUUUCGGAUCACGCCGCUGACGCAAUGCGGCGGCGGUAAUACAACCGAUUUCAUCAGUUUUUAUCGAACAACCAUCAUGGCCGAUAACGAACGUAAUUCUCAACCGAGACGCAGUGAGGGGCCGUGCCGCUCGUAUGCGGCGGCGGCGGUCGGAGUGGCGGCCCCCCCCCCAUCCCGCCGCAUGAACAGGCUGUGGUGCCACCACCGCGACUCGAGGAUGUAAUGCAGGAGUUAGUCGCGCUGAGGGCUGCGGUGGCCCAGCUGCAACGGCAGCAGCAGCCGCAGUCGCCGCAGCCCGCCGCGAACGCGGCCCCGGCGGAGGAGGCCCAGGCGGCCCAGGCGGCGGAGGCGACCCAGGCGGCCCAGGCGGCGGAGGCGGCGGAGGCGGCCCAGCCGGCGCAGGUGCAGGCAGCGGACCCCGGCGAGCCGGCGCGGCCGCAGAAGAACCGUCGAAACCGCCGCCGCCGGGGGGGAAAUCGGGCGCCCGCCAUCUACCACUAUUACUACCGUUAGUAAUAUUGGUAGAUGGCGGGCCGGCGACGCUGCCCCCUAUUAAUAAAUAAAUAUAUUUAAAAAAAUA